GACGAACUCUGGCGGCGUGCUUAACACAUGCCAGUCGAACGGAAAGGCCCUGCUUGCCGGGUACUCGAGUGGCGAACGGGUGAGUAACACGUGGGUGAUCUGCCCUGCACUUCGGGAUAAGCUUGGGAAACUGGGUCUAAUACCGGAUAGGAGCCAUCUUUAGUGUGGUGGUUGGAAAGUUUUUUCGGUGUAGGAUGAGCUCGCGGCCUAUCAGCUUGUUGGUGGGGUAAUGGCCUACCAAGGCGGCGACGGGUAGCCGGCCUGAGAGGGUGUACGGCCACAUUGGGACUGAGAUACGGCCCAGACUCCUACGGGAGGCAGCAGUGGGGAAUAUUGCACAAUGGGCGCAAGCCUGAUGCAGCGACGCCGCGUGGGGGAUGAAGGCCUUCGGGUUGUAAACUCCUUUCGCUAGGGACGAAGCUUUGUUGUGACGGUACCUAGAUAAGAAGCACCGGCUAACUACGUG
RNAcentral lists this ribosomal RNA (466 nucleotides) under uncultured bacterium. RNAcentral's name for it is "partial 16S ribosomal RNA". It matches the Rfam family "Bacterial small subunit ribosomal RNA", at positions 28 to 507 of the family's 1533-position model. The record is from RNAcentral.